This 467-nucleotide ribosomal RNA is filed under the name uncultured bacterium. Its description in RNAcentral is "bacterial SSU rRNA". It matches the Rfam family "Bacterial small subunit ribosomal RNA", at positions 330 to 795 of the family's 1533-position model. The record is from RNAcentral.
UCCAGACUCCUACGGGAGGCAGCAGUGAGGAAUAUUGGUCAAUGGGCUUACGCCUGAACCAGCCAAGUCGCGUGAGGGAAGACUGCCCUAUGGGUUGUAAACCUCUUUUGCCGGGGAGCAAAGUGCCGCACGUGUGCGGUUUGGAGAGUACCCGGAGAAAAAGCAUCGGCUAACUCCGUGCCAGCAGCCGCGGUAAUACGGAGGAUGCGAGCGUUAUCCGGAUUUAUUGGGUUUAAAGGGUGCGCAGGCGGCACGGCAAGCCGGCGGUCAAAUCGCGGGGCUCAACCCCGCCCAGCCGUCGGAACUGCCGGGCUAGAGUGGGCGAGAAGUGCGCGGAAUGCGUGGUGUAGCGGUGAAAUGCAUAGAUAUCACGCAGAACUCCGAUUGCGAAGGCAGCAUGCCGGCUCCACACUGACGCUGAGGCACGAAAGCGUGGGUAUCGAACAGGAUUAGAUACCCCCGUAGAA